This 74-nucleotide transfer RNA is filed under the name Chlamydia trachomatis. Its description in RNAcentral is "tRNA-Arg(cct)". It matches the Rfam family "tRNA". From Rfam's summary of the family: Transfer RNA (tRNA) molecules are approximately 80 nucleotides in length. Their secondary structure includes four short double-helical elements and three loops (D, anti-codon, and T loops). Further hydrogen bonds mediate the characteristic L-shaped molecular structure. tRNAs have two regions of fundamental functional importance: the anti-codon, which is responsible for specific mRNA codon recognition, and the 3' end, to which the tRNAs corresponding amino acid is attached (by aminoacyl-tRNA synthetases). tRNAs cope with the degeneracy of the genetic code in two manners: having more than one tRNA (with a specific anti-codon) for a particular amino acid; and 'wobble' base-pairing, i.e. permitting non-standard base-pairing at the 3rd anti-codon position. The record is from RNAcentral. RNAcentral also lists the same sequence under 1 other name. Lineage: Bacteria; Pseudomonadati; Chlamydiota; Chlamydiia; Chlamydiales; Chlamydiaceae.
GCCUCGGUAGCUCAGUGGAUAGAGCACCACUCUCCUAAAGUGGGUGUCGUCAGUUCGAUUCUGAUCCGGGGCAC